AUCGCUUCACGGCAAUCUGGGCUAAGAUCAUGUGUAGUAUCUGUUCUUUGCACCGUAACUUCUGCAACGGCCUCGUAUUGCAUUAUCCCGAGGAUUGACCCAUA
RNAcentral lists this small nuclear RNA (104 nucleotides) under Trichobilharzia regenti. Its description in RNAcentral is "U2 spliceosomal RNA". It matches the Rfam family "U2 spliceosomal RNA". Rfam says of the family: U2 is a small nuclear RNA (snRNA) component of the spliceosome (involved in pre-mRNA splicing). Complementary binding between U2 snRNA (in an area lying towards the 5' end but 3' to hairpin I) and the branchpoint sequence (BPS) of the intron results the bulging out of an unpaired adenosine, on the BPS, which initiates a nucleophilic attack at the intronic 5' splice site, thus starting the first of two transesterification reactions that mediate splicing. Lineage: Eukaryota; Metazoa; Platyhelminthes; Trematoda; Strigeidida; Schistosomatidae. The record is from Rfam by way of RNAcentral.